UACGUAGGGUGCAAGCGUUAAUCGGAAUUACUGGGCGUAAAGCGUGCGCAGGCGGUUUUGUAAGCCAGAUGUGAAAUCCCCGGGCUUAACCUGGGAAUGGCAUUUGGGACUGCAAGGCUCGAGUGCGGCAGAGGAGACUGGAAUUCCUGGUGUAGCAGUGAAAUGCGUGGAUAUCAGGAGGAACACCGAUGGCGAAGGCAGGUCUCUGGGCUGACACUGACGCUCAUGCACGAAAGCGUGGGGAGCAAACAGG
RNAcentral lists this ribosomal RNA (253 nucleotides) under uncultured bacterium. Its description in RNAcentral is "partial 16S ribosomal RNA". It matches the Rfam family "Bacterial small subunit ribosomal RNA", at positions 524 to 776 of the family's 1533-position model. The record is from RNAcentral.